UCGCGUUCAUGCGUUCACCCACAAAUAGUAUGACAGGAACACAUAUUUUACUCUCAACCAAACUAAACUAGCCAAUCAGAAGUAGAAUGGGGCGGGUCUUUAAAGUGUGGUUGAGAGAUCCAGCUGCAGAUACCGUGCGGAGACCGGAGAUGUCACGUAGCAAGGAAUCCGCAGGAUGGAAAACAACAAACCAAAGGAUGAGGACUGCAGCAUUGCUUGGGCUGCCGUGAUACAUGCGAGAGACUCCUUCUAAAUUCAUGAAGAUAUGCGAGCCCAGUGACCCUGAAAAGGAUGUGAUCAAGGGCGUGGUGAUCGGAGUCCUAGUGGUUGUGGAAAAUGUGAUGGAGCCUCUCCCAGAAUUCUACAAUGACGUUGCCCUGGUGAUUGAGGAAGAAGUGGUGAUGCGUCACCUGAGUGACAUACCUAAUGCUUUUCUGAACCUGAUGGGCCUGGUGUACGCAUUAAACAUUGACUUUCCAAAGGAAUUAAAAUUCACUUUUGAA
Molecule: non-coding RNA, 503 nt
Organism: Paramisgurnus dabryanus
Lineage: Eukaryota; Metazoa; Chordata; Actinopteri; Cypriniformes; Cobitidae
Source: RefSeq, a predicted model, not a curated record